Molecule: long non-coding RNA, 563 nt
Organism: Monodelphis domestica (gray short-tailed opossum)
Lineage: Eukaryota; Metazoa; Chordata; Mammalia; Didelphimorphia; Didelphidae
Source: RefSeq, a predicted model, not a curated record
AGUUGAGAAUCAAGAACUAUGAGUAUGUAAUAGUAAGUAUUCUAGUCUGUAACAAUGAGUUUUGAACUAAUAAGCAUUUGCUCUGAGGAGCUGACACAUUAUAUUAAAAACCAUGAAACAGGAAAUAUGGCAGCUAAAAAUUCAGUCCUAUCUACAAUCCUGAUGAGCUAGACCAUUCCUUGAAGUCGAGAGACAUUCUGAUUCUGAAACGCUAACUCAGUCUGGCUUUAAUUAUCUUCAGUUACUUUAAGCUGUUCCAUUUUGGCCAUGAAGAUGCACUUCCUUCUUUCCGCUCUUCUCUUCUUUGUUUUGUUCUCUUCCUCAGUUUCUCUAAAACUCAUGUCCUAUGUGGUUUGUGAAACUUUCUCUAAAAACUGUACUGCUUUUAAUGAAACAACAUGUAUUAAUGGUGAAAAGAUCUGCGUUUUGCAUCUUAAAAACUGCUGUAAGACCGAAGUAUAAAAGGUCAACUCUUGGGAAAAGAAGAACUGCAGAGGUGAUGUAGAAGAAGUCAUCAACCCUUUUGUCUUAUUCCUAGUAAAAGCACUGUUUUCCUCCUCUAA